UCCGGUUUGGCACCGGCAGUCUUCCCAGAGUCCCCGACUUUACUCGCUGGCAACUGGGAACGGGGGUUGCGCUCGUUGCGGGACUUAACCCAACAUCUCACGACACGAGCUGACGACAGCCAUGCAGCACCUGUGCUGGUGUCCCGAAGGAGGCCUCCCGUUUCGGGGAGGUUUCACCAGCAUGUCAAGCCUAGGUAAGGUUCUUCGCGUUGCGUCGAAUUAAACCACAUGCUCCACCGCUUGUGCGGGCCCCCGUCAAUUCCUUUGAGUUUCAGCCUUGCGGCCGUACUCCCCAGGCGGGGCACUUAAUGCGUUAGCGCCGGCACUCAGAGGGUCGCUCCCCCAAGCACCUAGUGCCCAUCGUUUACGGCGUGGACUAC
This 380-nucleotide unclassified non-coding RNA is filed under the name uncultured Gemmatimonadaceae bacterium. Its description in RNAcentral is "contains 16S-23S intergenic spacer region". Lineage: Bacteria; Pseudomonadati; Gemmatimonadota; Gemmatimonadia; Gemmatimonadales; Gemmatimonadaceae. The record is from RNAcentral.